This 351-nucleotide ribosomal RNA is filed under the name Triticum aestivum (bread wheat). RNAcentral's name for it is "partial small subunit ribosomal RNA". Lineage: Eukaryota; Viridiplantae; Streptophyta; Magnoliopsida; Poales; Poaceae. The record is from RNAcentral.
AUGUGGAUGACAUCGGAGUACAUAGCUGCUUCGGAAGCAGCAAAUGAAGGAGUCUGGAUGAAGGAGUUCAUAUCCGAUCUAGGUGUUAUACCUAGUGCAUCGGGUCCAAUGAAAAUCUUUUGUGACAAUACUGGUGCAAUUGCCUUGGCGAAGCAAUCCAGAUUUCACAAGAGAACCAAGCACAUCAAGAGACGCUUCAAUUCCAUCCGGGAUUUAGUCCAGGUGGGAGACAUAGAAAUUUCCAAGAUACAUACGGAUCUCAAUGUUGCAAACCCGUUGACUAUGCCUCUUCCACGAGCAAAACAUGAUCAGCACCAAGGCUCCAUGGGUGUUAGAAUCAUUACUGUGUAA